RNAcentral lists this ribosomal RNA (680 nucleotides) under Scorlupaster asiaticum. RNAcentral's name for it is "eukaryotic LSU rRNA". It matches the Rfam family "Eukaryotic large subunit ribosomal RNA", at positions 1290 to 1870 of the family's 3401-position model. The record is from RNAcentral. Lineage: Eukaryota; Metazoa; Arthropoda; Insecta; Hemiptera; Issidae.
UCACCUGCCGAAGCAACUAGCCCUGAAAAUGGAUGGCGCUCUAGCGUCGUGCCUAUACCGGGCCGUCAACGGCAAAGUGGGUUGGUGCCCGGCCGGUUAACGCCGGCCGGCUCGGCCGUUAAGCCUUGACGAGUAGGAGGCGCGCGACGGUGUGCGCAGAAGGGUCUGGGCGUGAGCCUGCCUGGAGCCGCCGUCGGUGCAGAUCUUGGUGGUAGUAGCAAAUACUCUAGCGAGGGCCUGGAGGGCUGAUGUGGAGAAGGGUUUCUUGUGAACAGCCGUUGCACAAGAGUCAGUCGACCCUAAGCCCUAGGAGAAAUCCGAUGUUGAUGGGUAGCGAUUUCAUGUUGACACAGAAAUGCUUCCGUCGGGCGAAAGGGAAUCCGGUUCCUAUUCCGGAACCCGGCUGCGGAACCGUAACUUCGCGGGCACUCGCUCGCGAGCGCUCGUCGGGGUAACCCAAAAUGACCCGGAGACGCCGACGGGAGGUCUGGAAAGAGUUGUCUUUUCUUUAUAAGCGUUCGAGUUCCCUGGAAUCCUAUAGCAGGGAGAUAGGGUUUGGAAUGCGAAGAGCACCGCAGUUGCGGCGGUGUCCGGACCUUCCCCUCGGACCUUGAAAAUCCGGGUGAGGGCUACGCGGAAUGUCGCGCCGGCUCGUACCCAUAUCCGCAGCAGGUCUCCAA